GUUAUACAUAUAUAUUUUAGAUGUUGCCAAAAUAUUUGGAAUAUAUGUGGCUCUUUCCUAAUGAACAUUAACGGCCGGUGACAAUAAAGAGCAUAUGAUGAGCUACUCAUCAAAUUACCUACGCUUGAUUUCUUGGACGAAGCAGCUAACCUCUCACGUUAACCAGGGCCUUCACCACCAAGCUCUUGCUCUCUUCCGCCACAUGCAAACUUCUCUAGCUCUCUCUCUUGAUCCCUGUGUUUUCCCUCUCCUGCUUAAAUCAUGCUCUGCCAUCCACCGCCCUCAACUGGGCACCGCCGUCCACUCGCACGCUGUCAAAAUGGGUCUCCUCUCAAACCCAUUCGUUGCCUGCGCUCUCGUUAAUAUGCAUGGUAAAUGCGUGUCCCUUUUUUCAGCGCGUAAACUGUUCGACGAAAUUCCUCAGAGAAAUGUUGUUGUUUGGAAUGCGAUGAUAUCGCUUUAUACGCACUCCAAUCUUGUCCAUGAUGCUUGGCUUUUGUUUGAAUCAAUGGAUGUCAUGCCUAAUGCCUCCACUUUUAAUGCAAUAAUUGCAGGUUUGCCAGGGGUGGAGGAUGGGUCGCCUAAGGCCAUUGCUUUUUAUAGGCAAAUGAGGGAGUUGGGUUUGAAGCCAAAUUUAAUUACGCUUCUUGCUUUAUUACCUGCUUGUGUAGGAUUAGCAGCUUUGAGUUUGAUUGAAGAAAUUCAUGGGUACUCGAUAAGGAAUGGUAUUGAUCCGCAUCCCCAGCUGAGAAGUGGCUUAGUCGAUGCUUACGGGAGAUGUGGAUGUCUCAUUAAUGCAGCUAAUGUGUUUCAUAGUAUGAAGGAAAGGGAUGUGGUUGCGUGGAGCAGUUUGAUUUCAGCAUAUGCACUUCUUGGGGAAGCAAGAAGUGCUCUUCAAAUAUUUCGCCAGAUGGAAAUGGCGAACGUGUGCCCUGAUGACAUUACUUUUCUAGCAGUUUUGAAAGCUUGUAGCCAUGCAGGAUUAGCUGAUGAGGCACUGGACUACUUCAGCAGAAUGCAAGAAGAUUAUGGUCUGCAAGCAAACAGUGAUCAUUAUUCUUGUUUGGUUGAUGUUUUGAGCAGAGCUGGGAGGUUAAACGAGGCAUACAAAGUCAUACGAGAAAUGCCAGUGAAGGUGACUGCGAAAGCUUGGGGUGCCCUUCUUGGGGCUUGUCGAACUCAUGGAGAAGUGGAGUUAGCAGAGAUUGCUGGGAGAGCUUUGUUUGAGAUAGAACCUGAUAAUCCUGCCAAUUAUGUUAUAUUGGCCAGAAUUUAUGCCAGUGUAGGGAGACAUGAGGAAGCUCAGAGAAUGAGAAGAGAAAUGACAGAGAGGGGCGUGAAGGUAGCUCCUGGUAGCAGCUGGGUGGUAUAAAGACAAUAGAACUACUACGUGAUUUUCCCCAAAUUAAAGCUUCUUUGGAAAGAUAAACAGGAGCAGCACAUUGCUCUUAGCACUCGGUCAAAGCUUCCUCCUUUUAUAGCAGAUAAGAAAUGCUAGAACAAUCAGUUGAAUGAUAAGAAUUCAAAGAUGUCAAAAAUGGAAGCUAGCACUUCUUUGUGAUGUUUAGUUAUUAUGUAUAUCAACAAUUUUGAAGUCAAGUGACGGCAUAUUUAAAGGUCCAAAGGAAAGGUAAAAACAAUGGAAAAGGUAACUUGUAUUUGCACCAAUGGCAGAAAUUCAAGGUGAGGCACCAUGGGCACAUGCCUCGAAAAUCCCCUCCCCCUCUCUCAAGGCAAAUUCAACAACUAUUAUUCAAGAAGUAUUGUAUCUGUAUCUGGUAAUAAAAAAAUAUUUGAAAAAAAAAAAUCUAUGCUCGGGUCUCAAAAAAAAUUAUGAUUACUUCUCAAAUCAGCACAUAUCUCUUUCAGAUCGGUUAGAUUGGCAGUUGUAACUUUGAUUGGUAAUAGAUUACCUAUUUCAUGAUUCCACCUUUACACAUUGACAUCAAUCUAUAAGUUAUUGAUAGCCACUUGUGGUAUGUGAAAUUAUGGUAAUUUAAUGUUUCAUCUGCAGGACUUCUUAUCAAGUUGUAUUGUUCAAGACACGAGUACCAAUCAAUAAAUGAUAUGAGGAUGAUGACAAGCAAGAAAUUACCCCAUUCUUCGCGUAAGGCUUCAUGUUGUGAAGUUUGAACGAGUAAUGAUUAAAGAAUAUUCCAGCUUUGCUUCUUCCAAGUUGCUUCACUGCGGUGGUAUACAUCUUCUAAUCUUACCUUCUUUUAACUCAUUUUGUUUGUCAGUUUUAAUAGAUUGUGCCAGCUUUAUGUAUUAUGAGUUUGUUUGACUACAUUCAAGUUGUCAACUUCAUUCUCAUUCCCGUCUAAUUUCUUUUUCCCUUGAUAAGUCUGGUAAUUUUCUUGUGGUUAGGAAUUGAUUCACGUGGUUUAUUUCUGAGACACCAGCCAAUGGAAAUGCUGUAUAUAAGUUGAACUUUGUUGUCAUGAAACAUAGUCUGAUCCCCACUAGCUAGGUUUGGUUGAAGCUGUAAAGGUAAACUUUGUUGUUAUGAAACGUAGUCUUAUCCCACUAGCUAGUUUUGUUUGAACCUUUCCUAACUGGGGAAAUAAUGGCGUUCAGAACAUCAGCCUCCUGCGUAUUUUACAGCUUUUGCUUGUUCACCGUGAGGGUUUCAAGUGACACUUGAUGCAACACCUGUACCAUAGUCUUCUGUAGCUGGUAAUGGUGAGGAAUCAGAGGCUGGAAGAAAAAUAAAUGAAGGGAAAUAUAUGCUACUGUCUGCAUAUAUGAAAUAGCCAAUUGAGUGCAUCUGAAGUUAUUAGUCACCUUGUGUAUUUCUUGCUGGGAAGCAUGAAUCAUGAGGAAAGUAACAGGGGAAAAAACAUUCUAGGGCAUGCCUUUUACAAUUGAUUUUUGGGAAAAAACAUUCUAGGGCAUUCCUUUUACAAUUGAUUUGUCAAUCUCACCUUCACCUUAGCGUUUACAUCCUCUUGUUUAUUUUUAUUGUUGCUUUUGCCACGUAACACAUCAUACAGGAUGGAACCUGUCACCUUGGGUUGCAGUUUAGCAACAUUAACAUUUUGUUUUUUACUUUGAAAUCAUUGACAUUUUGUUGGCUCCAGUACUGAUUACUGAAAGGACAAGGGAAU
This 3107-nucleotide unclassified non-coding RNA is filed under the name Hevea brasiliensis (rubber tree). Lineage: Eukaryota; Viridiplantae; Streptophyta; Magnoliopsida; Malpighiales; Euphorbiaceae. The record is from RNAcentral.